UGGAGGCAGAGAAAACGCAGAGCGAAGCAAGGAACAAGGAAGAGAAAGAUGCAGCAUUGAGGCAAUUAAGAAAGAGUUUGAUGUUCAAAGCAAACCCAAUGCCUAACUUCUACCAUGAAGGGCCUCCUCCAAAGGUUGAACUUAAGAAGGUAACACACAAGGUUGUCUACAACAUUCAGAAAAAAUAGACGUUACCAUUAAACUUUUAAAACCCUUUUCGAGUUGUUAACUAAUAAUACUCAUUAUGAUUGUUACAGCCUCCUCCAACUCGAGCAAAGUCGCCAAAACUAGGGCGUAGAAACACAAAAGAAGGGAACAGAUCCAAAGGAGUUUCGAGGCGCCAUGAAACUCGAAAGACUUUAAUAGUGAUCGCUAAAGAA
Molecule: long non-coding RNA, 380 nt
Filed under: Brassica napus (rape)
Lineage: Eukaryota; Viridiplantae; Streptophyta; Magnoliopsida; Brassicales; Brassicaceae
Description: long non-coding RNA (BNAP_LNC020697)
Source: RNAcentral